GGAUUAGAUACCCUGGUAGUCCACGCCGUAAACGAUGUCAAUUAGCCGUUGGGAAUCUUGUAUUCUUAGUGGCGCAGCUAACGCGAUAAAUUGACCGCCUGGGGAGUACGGCCGCAAGGUUAAAACUCAAAUGAAUUGACGGGGGCCCGCACAAGCGGUGGAGCAUGUGGUUUAAUUCGAUGCAACGCGAAGAACCUUACCAGGUCUUGACAUCCUGAGAACUUUCUAGAAAUAGAUUGGUGCCUUCGGGAACUCAGUGACAGGUGCUGCAUGGCUGUCGUCAGCUCGUGCCG
This 293-nucleotide ribosomal RNA is filed under the name uncultured bacterium. Its description in RNAcentral is "partial 16S ribosomal RNA". It matches the Rfam family "Bacterial small subunit ribosomal RNA", at positions 775 to 1067 of the family's 1533-position model. The record is from RNAcentral.